Long non-coding RNA from Xyrauchen texanus (razorback sucker), 717 nucleotides. RefSeq lists it as uncharacterized. NCBI's taxonomy places the organism in Eukaryota, Metazoa, Chordata, Actinopteri, Cypriniformes, Catostomidae. The transcript has 5 exons. The record is from RefSeq and is a predicted model, not a curated record.
GGAAGUGCUGCUACUGGCGCUGCGCCAACAAAAGUGCCUCUGUGAUCGGCUGAAUGGAAACGCAUUGGGCCAGUAGACCUACGGGCGCAGCGGUCCUCACAUUGGACAGUGAGGCGGCCAGGAAGCAGUGAUGACGGGCGGAGGUCGGUGACGGACGGCGGUGAUCGGUGACGGACUGCAGUGAUCGGUAGCGGACGUCGGAAUCGAGCACUUUGGGCCUCACAUUGGACAGUGAGGUGGUCUGGACGUGUUGAGGACGGACGCCAUAGACGACGGAGGUCGGUGAGCGGCCUCACAUUGGACAGUGAGGUGGUCUGGACGUGGUGCAGGUGAAGAUUGGACACUUCGAUGCAGACACUACGUCGGACAGUGGAGGAAAGUUCUUUCGGACCUAGAACGAGUAAAGCGAGAUUGACUGAAUCUCCCUCGAUCGCUGACUUGAUUUCAUCCGUGUCAUCUCCAAACACACCUGAUGAACACACAGAAAGUUUCCAGAACUCUCUGAAUCUCUGAUAGAGCUGAUUUCUGCUGCUGCUGGAACUCUGUUGAUUGUGGCGGCAGUUUUGAUGUUCUGCAUCUGCAGGAAAUGUAGAAAAACACAUCAAGAGGGCAAUUCCAGAAGAGGAUGAGGUGGUGUACGCAGGAUUAAUGACACGAUAAUCAAACACUCUUGAUUCGGUUUCCUCAGAAAUGAGUUUAUUAUCCUCUGGAUUAUCA